RNAcentral lists this ribosomal RNA (698 nucleotides) under uncultured bacterium. Its description in RNAcentral is "bacterial SSU rRNA". It matches the Rfam family "Bacterial small subunit ribosomal RNA", at positions 111 to 823 of the family's 1533-position model. The record is from RNAcentral.
UAACGCGUGAGCAACCUGCCUUUAUCAGGGGGAUAACGCAUCGAAAGAUGUGCUAAUACCGCGUAAGACCACAGCUUCACAUGGAGCAGGGGUCAAAGGAGCAAUCCGGAUAAAGAUGGGCUCGCGUCCGAUUAGCUAGUUGGUGAGACAACAGCCCACCAAGGCGACGAUCGGUAGCCGACCUGAGAGGGUGAUCGGCCACAUUGGAACUGAGAGACGGUCCAGACUCCUACGGGAGGCAGCAGUGGGGAAUAUUGGGCAAUGGGCGAAAGCCUGACCCAGCAACGCCGCGUGAGGGAAGAAGGGUUUCGGCUCGUAAACUCUGUCCUAUGGGACGAAGGAAGUGACGGUACCAUAGGAGGAAGCCCCGGCUAACUACGUGCCAGCAGCCGCGGUAAUACGUAGGGGGCGAGCGUUGUCCGGAAUGAUUGGGCGUAAAGGGCGCGUAGGCGGCCUGCUAAGUCUGGAGUGAAAGUCCUGCUUUCAAGGUGGGAAUUGCUUUGGAUACUGGUGGGCUGGAGUGCAGGAGAGGAAAGCGGAAUUACCGGUGUAGCGGUGAAAUGCGUAGAGAUCGGUAGGAACACCAGUGGCGAAGGCGGCUUUCUGGACUGAAACUGACACUGAGGCGCGAAAGUGUGGGGAGCAAACAGGAUUAGAUACCCUGGUAGUCCACGCGGUAAACGAUGAAUGCUAGGUGU